UUAAGAUGAAAUACUACUUUCAUAAGGAAAUACUCCAUGUCUUGUGAUUUAUACACACAGGAUGGAAUUGUGAUUUGGGAAUUUAGAGGAACACUCAAAUUAUCUGGAAACAGUAUUUUCUUACCUGUUUUGCCUAUGGCUUAGGUUCAUCAAAUAUUUUAUUUUACCCGGAAUUGUGAAUUAAAGAACUCCAUAAGUGCUGCUAAUACACUGCGAGAGUUGGUAGAACCUCUCCAUGCCAAAUCGGAUCCACUUCUGUUGGCACUCAACCCAUUGGACUCACAGAUUGAUAAGCUAAUGUUUAGAGAAUUUAGAUCGGAGAGAGUCGGUACGGCGCAGACUCAACAUCAACCUCUUGCAAGCAACUAAAAUGGCCUCGUCCUUGCUGUUUAUAACAGAAAACAGACUUGUAAAAAGCUUAGAUCAUCAAGUGUUUUGGAUUGGGGGCCUCCCAAAGGGAUAUAAGAGGGGCAGGCCACUCUUAAGAAGAAUGCGAGCUUUCUACAUUGGGACUAGCAUAAGAUCAAAGCCAAUCAAGAUGGAGCACAGUAACAGAAAACUGCGGUUUCUGUGGGAGAACAGAAGGGGAAAGGGUCUUAACUGGGAAAGGGCUCUGUGUGGUAACACCUCAGUUGUGUUCUCCUGACACCAGGAAAAGAGAGGGAUCAGCUUCAAUAACUAGAAAAUUCUGGCUGUUUAAUGGACUCUUUGGUGGCCUCUUUAAGGCAAAGCAGAGAAAGCAAAUUAUGUAUUAAGUGUAUUUUGCAUUUUUAAAACUUGACGUGCUGUAUUGUACUAAAUUAAGUGUAAUCUAUUAAGGCAAGGUAUACACAAUUUGCUUUGAAACUUACUAUGUUUAUUCUAUUAUAAAGUGUAUUCAGGUGCAACACAGAGACUGCUUUCGGUGACAUUAAUGAAGAAAAUUUCUCAUGCCAGGCUUUAUUAUAGAAUCUUCAGCUAAAAUCCUAACUUUCUCCUUAUUUCUUGGCACUUGUAUACAAGUGGUGUUGCCUCUUAGGGCAGGCAUGAGCUAUUCUUUUCUGUAAAAUAUUUUGAAUCUAUAGGCUGUGGGUUUCAUUUUUGAAAAGUAUUUUGUCUGGAUGUCUUUCAAACUAGCUUCAGAUAUUAUUUAAUACUAUGUAACUGGGUCCCCUAUGGCUCAAUCAAUAUUGCUUAUUUUUCUUCUGUAGUGGAUGUGAAAUUUCCUUUAGUUGGAUAAGAUACACUGUAAUAAUUUUAAUGCUAAUUAAUGAUAUUUCAUACUGUGCAAUGAACAGAUAAUUUAACACUGUAUUUUGAAAUGUUUUUUUCUUCCUGUCACCGCAGUGUGUGGUAUUGCAUAAUGUGAAUACCUGUAAAAAUAUAAAUUACUUAAAAAUAAAAAUAUGACCAAUUGGUAUCAGAUCUUUUCAGAUAGCUAAAUAAUUUGCUAAGUAUGCCUGAUAGUAAAUAUCUUUCUAAAAAGAAGUAAUCAGUGCUUCUUUCUCACAAAUGGAAUUUGUGUCUGUGAAUAAAAUCACAUUGAUCUGCC
Molecule: long non-coding RNA, 1531 nt
Filed under: Homo sapiens (human)
Lineage: Eukaryota; Metazoa; Chordata; Mammalia; Primates; Hominidae
Description: HSALNT0280799
Source: RNAcentral